GAUGAACGCUGGCGGCGUGCCUAAUACAUGCAAGUCGAGCGAACAGAUGAGGAGCUUGCUCCUCUGACGUUAGCGGCGGACGGGUGAGUAACACGUGGAUAACCUACCUAUAAGACUGGGAUAACUUCGGGAAACCGGAGCUAAUACCGGAUAAUAUAUUGAACCGCAUGGUUCAAUAGUGAAAGACGGUUUUGCUGUCACUUAUAGAUGGAUCCGCGCCGCAUUAGCUAGUUGGUAAGGUAACGGCUUACCAAGGCAACGAUGCGUAGCCGACCUGAGAGGGUGAUCGGCCACACUGGAACUGAGACACGGUCCAGACUCCUACGGGAGGCAGCAGUAGGGAAUCUUCCGCAAUGGGCGAAAGCCUGACGGAGCAACGCCGCGUGAGUGAUGAAGGUCUUCGGAUCGUAAAACCCUGUUAUUAGGGAAGAACAAAUGUGUAAGUAACUAUGCACGUCUUGACGGUACCUAAUCAGAAAGCCACGGCUAGCUACGUG
This 497-nucleotide ribosomal RNA is filed under the name uncultured bacterium. RNAcentral describes it as "partial 16S ribosomal RNA". It matches the Rfam family "Bacterial small subunit ribosomal RNA", at positions 28 to 507 of the family's 1533-position model. The record is from RNAcentral.